AUGGACGAAAGUCUGACCGAGCAACGCCGCGUGAGUGAAGAAGGUUUUCGGAUCGUAAAGCUCUGUUGUAAGUCAAGAACGUGUGUGAGAGUGGAAAGUUCACACAGUGACGGUAGCUUACCAGAAAGGGACGGCUAACUACGUGCCAGCAGCCGCGGUAAUACGUAGGUCCCGAGCGUUGUCCGGAUUUAUUGGGCGUAAAGGGAGCGCAGGCGGUCAGGAAAGUCUGGAGUAAAAGGCUAUGGCUCAACCAUAGUGUGCUCUGGAAACUGUCUGACUUGAGUGCAGAAGGGGAGAGUGGAAUUCCAUGUGUAGCGGUGAAAUGCGUAGAUAUAUGGAGGAACACCAGUGGCGAAAGCGGCUCUCUGGUCUGUCACUGACGCUGAUGCUCGAAAGCGUGGGUAGCGAACAAGAUUAGAUACCCUGGUAGUCCACGCCGUAAACGAUGAGUGCUAGGUGUUAGGCCCUUUCCGGGGCUUAGUGCCGACUAACGCAUAGCCUCGCUGGAUACACCAG
RNAcentral lists this ribosomal RNA (516 nucleotides) under Streptococcus mutans. RNAcentral's name for it is "bacterial SSU rRNA". It matches the Rfam family "Bacterial small subunit ribosomal RNA", at positions 371 to 873 of the family's 1533-position model. Lineage: Bacteria; Bacillati; Bacillota; Bacilli; Lactobacillales; Streptococcaceae. The record is from RNAcentral.